Puntigrus tetrazona (Sumatra barb) is the source of this 1317-nucleotide long non-coding RNA. RefSeq lists it as uncharacterized. The record is from RefSeq and is a predicted model, not a curated record. The transcript is spliced from 3 exons. Lineage: Eukaryota; Metazoa; Chordata; Actinopteri; Cypriniformes; Cyprinidae.
CCAGAGAUGAUUUUCAUCGGAGACCAGAACACCUAAAUGUGCCCCGUGGACAGAUCGCGGAUCGCACCACAGUCCUUUCUGGUGGCUGAGAAAACCUCACUGUAGAUGCCGAUAUAUCGGAUCUCUCUGCUACUCCAUGCAUCCCUAGUCGUCCCACUGUGUCCAGCACUCCCAGACGCUCUGGCUGCCCUUCACCUGUUCAACAAGGAAAGAGAAAAAAGGGUGACAUGAGUGCUCUGACUCUCGUAUAAGAAAUGAUGGAACAAGAGGAGAUAGACCGCAGACAAACCCACAUAAAAAUGCAUAGCCUUGUUGAUAUGCUGAAGGAACAGGCCCAGAGAAAAGGGGAAGAGCGUGAGUGGCUGCAGAGCUGACCAACAGGCUUUUUGUCUUUUUGCUCUUUGUACAUUGUUUUGCAUUAUGUACUGCAAUCUCACAUUGAACAAAGACAAAGACAUUUGUGUGUAUUGUACAGAAUUUUUUUUUUAUAUCUCAAAUACACGUUUGUAAUUCGGUUUUACUUAUUGGAGUUACUUGUUUAGGAAUUAGGAUGUGUAACAUUAAAGUAUGUCCUGUCACAUAUCGGUGAAAAUACUAGGCCUAGGCAAACAAUUAUGACAACUAUAACAAUCUAAUUACUUGUGUUAGUGGGGGCAGGCAAUCAAGUAACAUCCUAUACAAAUGAUUAUAGGAACAAAUUAUAACACCCAUAAGUUAUCAGUCCAAAUAGUUUUGCAAGAACAACAGAAUAUCCGUGUUCUGCCCUAGCACUCUGUUUUUCUUUUGUUGUCUUGUGUCAACACAUGGCUUUGUUUUUGUCAGCCAUAUUCUUCCCUAGUCCCUCCUCCUCGUUUCCUCUUGACCACACCCUCUCCUUAGCCUUGUUGAGUCAGUGUGUGUAUCCUUUUUGCUGGUUCCUUGUCAUUCUUACCCCUUCUGUCACUGUCUUUGGAUAUGGCUGAAUGUGUGUUGUUAUGUCCCUGCCUGGUUGGUCUUGUACCCUUGUUCUUGCUCCCUGUGUCGCUUGUUUUUGCCUUUUUCUUUUGUUUUGCAUGUUGCAUAUUCUUUAAGUUAAUUAUGUUAGUAAAAUUGUUAAUAAUGUCUUAUUUUUUCUCUUGUUUGUUUUAUUUAUCCCCCUUCCUGCUUAGAGCUGUUGUCCUGUCUUGUGUCUCUAUGUUUGUUAGAGCUCCUAUCUGGACCCAUUCUCGACCCCGGUUCUCCCUGUCUGGUACUAGGUCAGCUUCUGAGUUGAUGGUCUAGAAGUAUCUGAGCUUUAGCUCUAUGAUGCCUUGUUUGCCUCUCUAUCUGCCUGGUCUU